GUAGACAUAGUUUAAACCAAAAUACUAGAUUGUGAUUCUAGAGAAAGGGGUUAAAACCCCCUUGUCCACC
Molecule: transfer RNA, 70 nt
Filed under: Xiphophorus hellerii (green swordtail)
Lineage: Eukaryota; Metazoa; Chordata; Actinopteri; Cyprinodontiformes; Poeciliidae
Description: tRNA-His
Rfam family: tRNA
About the family: Transfer RNA (tRNA) molecules are approximately 80 nucleotides in length. Their secondary structure includes four short double-helical elements and three loops (D, anti-codon, and T loops). Further hydrogen bonds mediate the characteristic L-shaped molecular structure. tRNAs have two regions of fundamental functional importance: the anti-codon, which is responsible for specific mRNA codon recognition, and the 3' end, to which the tRNAs corresponding amino acid is attached (by aminoacyl-tRNA synthetases). tRNAs cope with the degeneracy of the genetic code in two manners: having more than one tRNA (with a specific anti-codon) for a particular amino acid; and 'wobble' base-pairing, i.e. permitting non-standard base-pairing at the 3rd anti-codon position.
Source: RNAcentral